GACGAACGCUGGCGGCGUGCUUAACACAUGCAAGUCGAACGGAAAGGCCCUGCUUUUGUGGGGUGCUCGAGUGGCGAACGGGUGAGUAACACGUGAGUAACCUGCCCUUGACUUUGGGAUAACUUCAGGAAACUGGGGCUAAUACCGGAUAGGAGCUCCUGCUGCAUGGUGGGGGUUGGAAAGUUUCGGCGGUUGGGGAUGGACUCGCGGCUUAUCAGCUUGUUGGUGGGGUAGUGGCUUACCAAGGCUUUGACGGGUAGCCGGCCUGAGAGGGUGACCGGCGACAUUGGGACUGAGAGACGGCCCAGACUCCUACGGGAGGCAGCAGUGGGGAAUAUUGCACAAUGGGCGGAAGCCUGAUGCAGCAACGCCGCGUGCGGGAUGACGGCCUUCGGGUUGUAAACCGCUUUCGCCGGUGACGAAGCGUGAGUGACGGUAAUGGGUAAAGAAGCACCGGCUAACUACGUG
RNAcentral lists this ribosomal RNA (468 nucleotides) under uncultured bacterium. RNAcentral describes it as "partial 16S ribosomal RNA". It matches the Rfam family "Bacterial small subunit ribosomal RNA", at positions 28 to 507 of the family's 1533-position model. The record is from RNAcentral.